This 71-nucleotide transfer RNA is filed under the name Bos taurus (domestic cattle). RNAcentral describes it as "tRNA-Gly (CCC) (tRNA-Gly-CCC-35-1)". It matches the Rfam family "tRNA". Rfam says of the family: Transfer RNA (tRNA) molecules are approximately 80 nucleotides in length. Their secondary structure includes four short double-helical elements and three loops (D, anti-codon, and T loops). Further hydrogen bonds mediate the characteristic L-shaped molecular structure. tRNAs have two regions of fundamental functional importance: the anti-codon, which is responsible for specific mRNA codon recognition, and the 3' end, to which the tRNAs corresponding amino acid is attached (by aminoacyl-tRNA synthetases). tRNAs cope with the degeneracy of the genetic code in two manners: having more than one tRNA (with a specific anti-codon) for a particular amino acid; and 'wobble' base-pairing, i.e. permitting non-standard base-pairing at the 3rd anti-codon position. The record is from Rfam by way of RNAcentral. Lineage: Eukaryota; Metazoa; Chordata; Mammalia; Artiodactyla; Bovidae.
GCAUUGGUGGUUCAGUGGUAGAAUUCUCGCCUCCCACGCAGGAGACCCGGGUUCGAUUCCCGGCCAAUGCA